Balaenoptera musculus (blue whale) is the source of this 287-nucleotide long non-coding RNA. RefSeq lists it as uncharacterized. NCBI's taxonomy places the organism in Eukaryota, Metazoa, Chordata, Mammalia, Artiodactyla, Balaenopteridae. The transcript is spliced from 3 exons. The record is from RefSeq and is a predicted model, not a curated record.
GACCCAUAGUCGCAUUGGAGCAGCAACUCCUUGCUAGAGUUGAGGCACUUCAUCUCUCAUUGCUGAUCCCGUCUUCACAGCAUCAUACUGAUGACCAUUCAUGGCUUAAAGUGCUUUCCAGGUGCAUUUCUGCAGCAUGAUAAACCACCUUGGUCGGCUGAACAUGUUUCUUGGUUUUACAUCCUAACAAAAGCAAGGCAGGAAAAUUAAAGCACUCACUGUCCCUGACUCUCUUCCAGUUAUGGGGAGAUGGAGAGGACCUGAAGAAUAUUCUUAGCUAAUGAUAU